Mangifera indica (mango) is the source of this 550-nucleotide long non-coding RNA. RefSeq lists it as uncharacterized. The record is from RefSeq and is a predicted model, not a curated record. The transcript is spliced from 2 exons. Lineage: Eukaryota; Viridiplantae; Streptophyta; Magnoliopsida; Sapindales; Anacardiaceae.
UAACUAAAAACAGAUUUAAAAAAAAAAAAAGAAAUCACAGAGAGAAGAUAGAAAGUGUGAAGCAAAUGAAGAAUUUGGAAUGCAGAAAGAAAGAGAAAUUUUUGAAAAAUCAAGCAAAUACAAAUGCGUGCCUUUACAUUUCCCACCAUUGAUAAAACCGAUUGGCAUAGAUACAAGAUUGACUGAGGCUUGGCGUUGGAAUUCUCGCCUCCUGAAGACAAAUGAAUCAGUGGAAACAUGGCGUCAAAUCGGUGAAUAACAAAUGACUUAAAGAUGAAGGGCGUCUGAACAUCGCCUGAAAACAAAAUGUCAAACAUCCUUCAUCUUCGUCUUUUUGUCUUUUCAUUUGAUGCCGAGAGACGACAUUUUCGGAUGCCAUCUUUUUGUCUUUUUGAACGCCGAGCAGAAGACCUUUCUCCCAUCUAUUUUCAGGAGAUCUUUGGUUGCUCUUUUCGGACGCCGAGCAGACAACAGUUCUCCCUUUUGUUUUCGUCAAUUUCGAAGAUGGGCUAAAGACAUUCUCAUGGGCUAUUGGCCGAACUCCAGUUGA